CGCAGGGNAUGGGUUAAGUCCCGUACGGAGCGCACCCCUUGUCCCUAAGUUGCCAGCACGUAAUGGCUGGGAACUCUAGGGAGACUGCCGGUGACAAACCGGAGGAAGGUGGGGACGACGUCAAGUCAUCAUGGCCCUUACGGCCUGGGCUACACACGUGCUACAAUGGGCAGUACAGAGGGCAGCAAAGUCGCGAGGCCAAGCAAAUCCCUAAAACUGUUCGUAGUCCGGAUUGGAGUCUGCAACUCGACUCCUUGAAGUCGGAAUCGCUAGUAAUCGCGGAUCAGAAUGCCGCGGUGAAUACGUUCCCGGGCCUUGUACACACCGCCCGUAANACCGGCGG
Molecule: ribosomal RNA, 343 nt
Filed under: uncultured Alcanivorax sp.
Lineage: Bacteria; Pseudomonadati; Pseudomonadota; Gammaproteobacteria; Oceanospirillales; Alcanivoracaceae
Description: bacterial SSU rRNA
Rfam family: Bacterial small subunit ribosomal RNA
Source: RNAcentral